This 390-nucleotide ribosomal RNA is filed under the name Triticum aestivum (bread wheat). RNAcentral's name for it is "partial small subunit ribosomal RNA". Lineage: Eukaryota; Viridiplantae; Streptophyta; Magnoliopsida; Poales; Poaceae. The record is from RNAcentral.
AUGGCAAGCGCAAGUGGAAGCGGAAAAGCUAAAGGUGGUGGUGGUCAUGGAGGAACAUCUGAAAGCGGUAAGAGGUACAAGUUUGAUGCCGCGCUGAUUGAUGCACAACUUAUGAAAAGAUGUGACAGUAGAAUUAGUGAAGCUGACUGGAAGAACCUUAUUACUUACUGGAGAUCUUCGGUAUUUGAAGCUGUCAAACUUGUCCAUCAGCCUCGAAGAGAUCAAGUUUAUAUCGAGACAAAUACAUGCAAGAAAGGGGAUAAGAAAGGGAGUUAUGUGCCGCAGGCAGAAGCAACAAUUAAAUAUCUCGUAGAGAAAGCUGAAAAGCGCACUGAAUGGAAGGAAAAAGCAUUCAAGAAGGUGAUCUGUUUGCACAUGUAUGUGGAAUGA